CCGAAGUUCAUCAUCGUCUUGCCAAGAAAGAAUAGUGUAUUCUGGAUGUUGCCGAGGCCUUUAUGGUGCCUGUUCUUUUAUAUUCUCUUUUUCCCUUUUUUUUUAAAUCUUUAUUGAGCAGUGUAUGAGCAGAGCUCAGUGAGAGAGAAGACCUAAAAGCUAGCAUGCAUAUGCGACAUGCCUAAUUGAGGUCAGGUUUACGGAUAAAACCAUGGGGGCAUAGUGAAAAAAACUUCUGAUUAUGGUUUCAUUGAAAUGGAAGAUUAAAACAUGGAUGGGAUCAGCUUGACAGAAAGUGUUCACAAUGUCAGGGAAUUCUCAAAAACCAGCAUGACUGGAAGUUACCAGCGGGCAUUAUUGUAUUUUGAAUGGUAUCAUGUCUUUUCUUCUCGCAUUAUUGUUUUUAUUAUUUCUUCUCUCGAUUUUCUUUACAGCAAAAUUACUGGAUGUUAUUUUUGUCGUCUCAAGUACACUGAUGCCAGUAAACCAUUAGCUGAGACAGAUUGCCAAAGCUAAACCUCUGAACAUAAUAAAAGAAGAGGAACAGGUUGGUGGAAAUGAGGAAAAAGAUCCAUCUGAUUGCAUAGAACAAUCAGAAAGCUUAAAAAUUGUAAAACAGCUUCCAACAGACAAUAACGAAGCAGGUUGUGGUGGAGAAUUAGAAAUGCCCCAAGUCAUAUCUCUUCAUGGCUCUGAUUCUCAAGAAGUCCAGAUGGUACUCAAACUAGGUUUUACUCUUCCGACUUCAUGUUAUGCCACAACGACCAUAAGAGAGCUUCUGAAAACAUCAACAUCUGUUGCAUUCUGAACUGGUGGUCACCAAAUAAGAAUUUUCAAUGAGUGCUCGGGUGCGCUGCGAUCCUGGGUGUCUUGCCCAUGUAGAAUCAUGGCACUCUUGAAUGAUUUCUUUCCUCAAUCCGCCCUAUCUUGGCACAUACAACCGCUCUCCCUUGGUGUGCAACAAUCCAUCUCGUAGCCAAAAUCUUCGGGUCUUCCCUUGGCUUGCUAAUUCACACAAACUCUUGGCUUGGGCUUCAAGUUUAAAAUUGGUGGUUGAGGGAGUAGGGUGGGUGAUAUUUGGUGAAGAAGGAGUUUGGGUUGGGAGGUGAUUUGAAUAAGGGUUACGGGUCUG
Mangifera indica (mango) is the source of this 1132-nucleotide long non-coding RNA. RefSeq lists it as uncharacterized. The record is from RefSeq and is a predicted model, not a curated record. The transcript is spliced from 4 exons. NCBI's taxonomy places the organism in Eukaryota, Viridiplantae, Streptophyta, Magnoliopsida, Sapindales, Anacardiaceae.